UGGACUAUGGUGUAAUGGUAGCACUACAGAUUUUGGUUCUGUCAGCCCCAGUUCGAAUCUGGGUAGUCCAA
This 71-nucleotide transfer RNA is filed under the name Caudoviricetes sp. RNAcentral's name for it is "tRNA-Gln". It matches the Rfam family "tRNA". From Rfam's summary of the family: Transfer RNA (tRNA) molecules are approximately 80 nucleotides in length. Their secondary structure includes four short double-helical elements and three loops (D, anti-codon, and T loops). Lineage: Duplodnaviria; Heunggongvirae; Uroviricota; Caudoviricetes. The record is from RNAcentral.